RNAcentral lists this long non-coding RNA (439 nucleotides) under Homo sapiens (human). RNAcentral describes it as "HSALNT0381997". Lineage: Eukaryota; Metazoa; Chordata; Mammalia; Primates; Hominidae. The record is from RNAcentral.
CCUGCGUUGGUGGGCGCGCCGCGGGCUCUAAAAGCUCGACUGUCGGCCGGGCGCUGUGGCGCACGCCUGUAAUCCCAGCACUUUGGGAGGGCAAGGUGAUGUUGGACGUGACAGAGGAGGUGACAGGUCACCCUGAGUGCGGGACUCCGUGUCCAGAAGGAAGUGGGCCUCCAGGUGCCACGCCUUUGCUUCUGCUGUGGCAUCUGAUGAGUUCCCUGUUCAUCUCUCCAGGCAUUCCCAGGGCAGUCAGCCCUGAUGCCCAGGGGCUAGGCUUGCAAGACCGCGCAUUAGGUUCGCAGAGCUAGAGUGCAAGGCCAGACCUGGUACCAACAGCAUCUCCGCCUUCGUCCUCAUCUGGUUCCCGCCUCAAACCUGUACCUGUGCGGAGGAGCCUGGAAGACGGAGUUUCGCUUUUGUUGCCCAGGCUGGAGUGCAAUGG